GCCUGGGUGGCUCAGUGGUUGAGCAUCUGCCUUAGGUUCAGGUUGUGAUCCAGGGGCCGUGGGAUUGAGUCCCACAUCAGGCU
This 83-nucleotide transfer RNA is filed under the name Canis lupus familiaris (dog). It matches the Rfam family "tRNA". From Rfam's summary of the family: Transfer RNA (tRNA) molecules are approximately 80 nucleotides in length. Lineage: Eukaryota; Metazoa; Chordata; Mammalia; Carnivora; Canidae. RNAcentral also lists the same sequence under 1 other name. The record is from Rfam by way of RNAcentral.